CGUGAGCUACAUUUCUUCUCCUCAGAAAAUUGUUCAAGCCGAGAAUCUCCUAAUAAUAUGUUAAAAUGUGUGCUGGCUGGAAAGGAAAAACACAAGGCACCAUUUCCUCCUCUGCAAAGUAACGACUCUACCAAGAAGAUGUAGGCACCGUCCCAGCCUUCAAAAACGUUACAACCCCCUUGCAGAAUCUGCCGAGACAGAGUGAAUAGCCUCCUUCAAUGUGACGACUGCAACUUUUUCUAAGGGGCCAUGUGUCACAAAAUUUAGGGUGGGGUCCACCCUAAAACCUUAGGGUUUGGUGCC
Molecule: long non-coding RNA, 303 nt
Filed under: Vigna radiata
Lineage: Eukaryota; Viridiplantae; Streptophyta; Magnoliopsida; Fabales; Fabaceae
Description: long non-coding RNA (VRAD_LNC016789)
Source: RNAcentral